CAGUAGCCACGGUAAUACGUAGGGUGCAAGCGUUGUCCGGAAUUAUUGGGCGUAAAGAGCUCGUAGGCGGUUUGUCGCGUCUGCUGUGAAAACGCGAGGCUCAACCUCGCGCCUGCAGUGGGUACGGGCAGACUAGAGUGUGGUAGGGGAGAUUGGAAUUCCUGGUGUAGCGGUGGAAUGCGCAGAUAUCAGGAGGAACACCGAUGGCGAAGGCAGAUCUCUGGGCCAUUACUGACGCUGAGGAGCGAAAGCGUGGGGAGCGAACAGGAUUAGAGACCCCCGUAGUCCCUGUCUCUUAUAC
Molecule: ribosomal RNA, 301 nt
Filed under: uncultured bacterium
Lineage: Bacteria
Description: partial 16S ribosomal RNA
Rfam family: Bacterial small subunit ribosomal RNA
Source: RNAcentral